CUGGGAGAGCGCGCUCCUUGUACCAGUUGGGACCGUGAACGGGGCCGAGCGGAAGCGUCUAAAGGCAGCUCCAGCGCUUUGCAGGUGCCGGGGAACCCCUGCUUCCCUCAUGACAGGAUUUCAUAGUGGUAUCAGGGCUCUAUUUUGCUGGCCAUGGGGAAAGAAGUCACCUGGAGCAAUAUCACCUGCUGAUCUGACAAAAACAUGCAGAAGUUUCAGCUCCCUGACUCGUGUUGUGGAAACCAGUGGAUAUAGAGCUAUUAGGAAGAAUUCUUUACUAAAGAAGUUUGACUUAGAGACUGUAUCAGUCAGGGUUCUCCAGAGGAGCAGAAUCAGUAGGAUAUAUUCAUAAAGAAAUUUAUUUUAAGGAAUUGGCUCCUACAAUUGUAGGAGGAUUGGUGAGUCCAAAAUCCUAUGAGGGAGGCUGGGGGCUUAAGACUGCGGAAAGAGUUUCAGUGGGAGUUCAAAGGCAGUCUGCUGUAAAAUCGAGACUAGGUGAUGCUGCAUAUGAAGUCUAAAAGUUGUCUGAUGCCAAGUGCCCUCUUGACUUUUUCUUCUAUCCAGGCUUUCGACUAAUUGGAUGAGACUCAGCCACAUUAUAGAGAGAAGUCAGCUUUACUCAAAGUCUAUCAAUUUAAAAAUUAAUUCCUUCCAAAUACCCUCACAGAAAUAUCCAGAAUAAUGUUUGACAAAAUGUCUGGGCACUAUAGUCCAGACAAACUGAUACAUAAAAUUAGCCAUAACAGACACAUCGGACUUGAUUCAUCUAUUCUUUGACGUUAAUAAAUAUUGAACACCAUCUGUGUCCUACAUACUAUUCAAAGUGCUUGGAAUACCAGAGUGAACUAAACGAAGUCCCUGUAUUCAUGGGGCUCACAUGCUAUUGGGGGAGAUAGUCAAGUAGUGAUAAGUGGUGUGAAGAAAAAUUAAAACAAGCAGAACCUGAUGAGGAUGCUAUUCUAGACAGAAAAGUCAAGGAAGGCAUCUUUGAAGAGAUGUCAUUUGAGAAAUACCCAGAGGAAGAGAGUGAAUCAUUUGAAUAGUUAGGGAAGAGCUUUCAAUCUGUCUGAAGAGUAAGGAGGUACAAAGGCCCUGAGAUGGUAAUGUCCUAGGUUAUUCAAAGAACAGCAAGGAGGCCAGACCAGGAGAGGCUGACUGAGUGAGGUAGAAUGGUAGGAAAUAGGGCAGAGCCUUGUGGGAGGCUUCAGAGCAUCUUUGCUGAAGGAUUCAAGAGAAGUUCCAGAGAAAGAUUAAGACCUGGGCUCUAGAUGUUGUCUUUAAUCUUCAGCAUCAAGUGUCCCUUCCAUUUCCUCAGAUCAUACCUUCCCCCUUGGAAUUAACGAAGCCCAGCCUCUUCGAGUAUUUUGCACAUUAUGUCACCUCUGGCCUCAGCGGGAUAUGAACACAAUCUCAGUCUGUUCUGGCUCCUGCUGUUUCUGCAGAGAGGAGAGGAUGAGCUCCCAUGCUAGGAAGGGGGGUGGAAGGGUGGGAUAAGUUGGACUAUUUCAAUUUCUGUUUGUUCUCUCUACCAGCAGGGCUGUGUCCAGGCUUUGUCUUUACCCGAAAACAAACACAUCUUACCUUUGUGAUGUAGUUUUUUUUGGGGGGUGGUCUAGUCCAGGGGUUGGCACAUUUUGGCCGAUGGACCAAAUCUCACAGGCCUGUUUUCAUGACAUUUUAUCGAAAUACAACCACACUCAUGUGUUUAAAUAUUGUUUAUGGCUAUUUCUGUGUUUUAACUGUAGAGUUGAAUAGUUGCAGCAGGGACUGUAUGGCCUAAAAAGCCUAAAAUAUUUACUGUCUGGCUCUUUACAGAAAAAGUUUGCCCACCUCUGGUGCAUAGUCUAUGACAGAAAUGUAUAUUUUUUCUAAUAAUAUGACUUUAAGUCUAUUUCUUACAAAAUAAAAGUCUCGGCCUUAUUAUGCUAAAAUAUUUUCUUCUACUUGGCUUGGUCCCUUUAAUUAUGGAGGUUCCCACAUAAACUGACAAGGCUUGUGGCUGAGCCAUCUGGUUAAAUGGCCUAACAGUAACUUGGUUUCUUCCUAAUUUCCAGGCAUCUCCCCUGAGAGGAGGAGUGGAGCUUAAGUUCAGCCUGUCACACCUGUAGUUUUCAGUUAAUUUUUGGUGUGUGACUCAUGGCUGUUAACAGAAAUGUGUGUGGUCAAAACAGUGUAGAAGACUUAUCCAAACGAGCAAACAUAAAAGUGUUUACAUAUGUUCAUAGAUGAGUGUUUUAAGAGAUGCUCAAAGAGAAAUGAAACGUGAUUGCCAUCAGUAGUUGCACUAGGAUGUAUAUUUUACAACUAGAUCUAUAUUUAAAAAAUAUUUUAAUAUUAGUACUAAUAGAUUUGACAUGUGUGUUAGGGAGAGAACACUGGAAUCUUAGAGUUAAAUGCAACUCGAAGAGAACAUACUCCUUCAUUCCUGACACAAGUUUAAGAAUUUCUUUUGCGAUGACAGUCAGAUACAGUAUAUGACAUUUGCAGUAGAAGUGUUAUUUUCCCAUUGUUUCUUUCUUUGAUGAAUUACUCCUUUCCCAUUUCAUGUCAUCUUGUGGGCAUGUGACUGGGACUGACCCAUACAUGUACCCUAUUCCUUUGGUCACAGUUAUUAGUCCAGGGAAUGCAUAUGAUGUAAACUGGAACAUCCUUCCUGGUCUUGUUUGCUUUGAUUGCCGGAGCUCUUAUUUUCUUCUUUACCUUCCUAAGAUUUCUGCUUUACCUCAGAAUGAUGCAGAGUUCAAAUUUGCCCUGGGUAAUUGGAGUAGACUGUAAAAUUUAUUUAAAAUAUUACUUACAAUUUGAAAUGUCAUUGGAUUUUUAAAUUGGAAUAGAUUGUCUUUUCUAUAACAAUUUCACCCAUCCCACAUUACUCUUCUGCAAUGUGACUCUGCCAUGCUCCAUCAUGAGGUGGUGUAUAACACUCCUCUUGAAUAUGGGCUGGCCUUAGUGACUAGUUUGAUGAGUAGAAUGUAGCAGAAGUGACAAAUAAUAAGCUCGAUAAAAUUUCAUACCCAUAACCAGUACCCAGAUCAAAAAAUGGAACAUUACCAACCCCCAGAAGCCUCCUUUUAUGUGCCUGUCUGCUAUCUCCUACAAGGUCACCUCUGUUUUGACUUUUGAAACUAUUGCUUAAUUUUGCUUGUUUGCGAAUUGUAUAUAAAUGGUAUCUUUUGUGUCUGGCUUCUUUAGCUCAACUUUAUGUUUGUGAGUUCAUUUAUGUUGUCAUAUGUGGUUAUACUUGUUCAUUCUCGUGGUAGUAUUUCAUUGUUUGAAUAUACUAAAAUGUAUUAAUCCAAUCUGCUGUUGAUAAACAUUGAGUAGUUCCAAUAUUAUGAAUAGCGCUGCUAAAAACAUUCUUGUCCAUGUCAUUUGGUAAACAUACACAUACAUUGCUGUUGGGUGUAUACUAGGAAUAGAAGUGCAUAUGUUUACCUUAGUCAAUAUUGCCAAACAGUUUUCCGAAGAGGUUGUACCAAUUUACCCUUCCACUUCCAGCUGCUGUGCCAACUGUGCCUUCUCUGUUGCUACUAAAAUUACCGUCACAGGAUUUUGCUAAUCCUUGAAAUUUUAAUGAAACAGCUUUUUUUAAAGUUUCACUGGCUUUUUAAAGCCAUGGAACCUGGGUCAUAGGACAUUGUCCUAUGACCCAGGUAAAAUCAGCCAAUGUCCUAUGACCCAGGUAAAAUCAUCCCUCCCCUCUGGCCCUGUCUUGAUGUCAUCGAACCCAGUGUGUGUACUUUGACUUUUCCCUUAGGGUGAGCUGCUUCCCAGGAGUCCCCUGGCCUCUCCUGUGUACAACCCCUAGCAAGAUUAU
Molecule: long non-coding RNA, 3817 nt
Organism: Pteropus alecto (black flying fox)
Lineage: Eukaryota; Metazoa; Chordata; Mammalia; Chiroptera; Pteropodidae
Exons: 3
Source: RefSeq, a predicted model, not a curated record